RNAcentral lists this ribosomal RNA (279 nucleotides) under uncultured bacterium. Its description in RNAcentral is "partial 16S ribosomal RNA". It matches the Rfam family "Bacterial small subunit ribosomal RNA", at positions 506 to 784 of the family's 1533-position model. The record is from RNAcentral.
UGCCAGCAGCCGCGGUAAGACGGAGAGUGCAAACGUUGUUCGGAAUCACUGGGCAUAAAGAGCACGUAGGCGGCCAAUUAAGUCGGAUGUGAAAGCCCUCGGCUCAACCGAGGAACUGCACCCGAUACUGAUUGGCUCGAGGACGGCAGGGGUGAGUGGAACUCCAGGUGGAGCGGUGAAAUGCGUAGAUAUCUGGAGGAACACCGGUGGCGAAAGCGGCUCACUGGGCCGUAUCUGACGCUGAGGUGCGAAAGCUAGGGUAGCAAACGGGAUUAGAUA